CUGAGACAGAGAGGUGCUGUUUCACUGUCCAGACAGCAUCAGAGAGAUGCUGUUUCACUGUCCAGACAGCAUCAGAGAGAUGCUGUUUCACUGACCAGACAGCAUCAGAUACAUGGUCUACACAUACUGAGACAGAGAGAUGCUGUUUCACUGUCCAUUAAACUCUGUAACUGUUUUGAAGUCGCCAUCGGCCUCAUGGUGAAAUCCCUGAGGGGUUUCCUUCCUCUCCGUUAACUGAGUUAGGAGGGACGCCUCUAUCUUUGUAGUGACCGGGUGUAUUGAUACACCAUCCAAAGUGUAAUCAAUAACUUCACUAUGCUCAAAGGUUUGAUUCUGUGUUUGAAAUUCACUGCUCAACGUGAGGGACCUUCCAGAUAAUUGUAUGUGUGGGGUACAGAGAGGAGGGAGUCAUUCAACAAUGAUGUAAAACACUAUAUACACA
This 442-nucleotide long non-coding RNA is filed under the name Salmo salar (Atlantic salmon). Its description in RNAcentral is "lncRNA (ENSSSAG00000110840.1)". Lineage: Eukaryota; Metazoa; Chordata; Actinopteri; Salmoniformes; Salmonidae. The record is from RNAcentral.